GGCCGUCCCGCCUCGUUUUGGGCACGCACGCGCGCGCGCACGCGGCGGCACCCUCCCCCUCCCGCCCUGCCCUGGCGCUGCUCUAGCGGCACCUGCGGGGGCAGGCGGGGGCGCGAGCCCCGGGCGGGCGGCGGAGCGCGUAGGGCUAGGGACAGACGUGCGAGUGCAGGGGCGCACGGGUUUGGUGCGGGGGUGGUGCAGGGGCGGUGCAGGGGCAGGCUCUGCGGUGGCGAGGAGAAGCAGGAGGAGGAAAAGGAGGAGGAGGAAGGGGCCCCGCGGGUUGGUGCGGGGCUGCCCCAGCGGGCUGGAGGCCUCCCCAGCAUCACCAUCCGGAGCGGAGGAGCAGCGCGGCCUCAGGGGGGCAGGGGGCCCGGGGCCCCGUGGGGUGGGAUCCAGACCGCCGAGGGGCUGAGCCCGGCGGUGCCAGAGCAGCCGCGGCUCAGCGGGCGAGGGUUGCUCAGCUGGGAACCGCAGCAGAGGCAGGGGCUGAGGCCCAGCGUGCAGGAGCAGGGGGGUGUGAGCCCGGGGGUGCAGGAGCAGGGUGGGGUGGGCGCGGGGGUGCAGGAGCAGGGUGCGCGCGGCGGCCGCAGGCCAAGCGCGGGGAGCAGCGCUGGCUCUACUGGAGCUCCCCGGGGGUGCGCGAGCCUGCAGCUUUGGGGCCGCUCAGGGAGCUGGCCGGCGGUUCAGGAGGUGGGCUUGGGUCCUAGGAAGCAGCACCAGGAGAAAGGGGGAGGGAGCCCUGCAGUCCAGGAACGCGGGGAGGCUGGGGCAGGUGUGCAGGAGCGGGGCGAAGGGACAGGUCUGCAAAGACAGCCGGUAGAGCAAGAAAUCGGGAGCGAGCAAGGAGAGUGGUUUAGGGGGAGCCCUGGAGAGCAAGUGGAGUGGUUUGGGGGUAGCUCUUGGGAGCAGGGGGAGCCGCUUAGGAGCCCAGGCAAACAGGCAGAGCAAUUUGGGGGAAGGCCACCUGAACGGUUUAGGGAGAGCUCUGGGAAACACAGAAGAGAGGAAGUGACCCAGCAUAUCUGGAGAGGGCUAGAGCUGCUUGGUGGAGCCCAACUGGUAGGACCCAAGGGACCUGAAGGAGAAGGUCGGCUGGGGGUGCAAGAGGUAAAUUGGAGGCCGGGGGUGCAGGAGGGAGAAGUCAGAUCCUCUGUCCAGGAAACUUAUUUUGAGAGAAAGGGACACAGAGAGGGACAGGGCCUUCCCCAGAGUGUUGAGGCCAUUUCUGAGGGGCAUAGGAUAAGGAAGAGAAGGCGGAGAAGGAGGUGGUAA
RNAcentral lists this long non-coding RNA (1272 nucleotides) under Monodelphis domestica (gray short-tailed opossum). RNAcentral describes it as "lncRNA (ENSMODG00000046957.1)". Lineage: Eukaryota; Metazoa; Chordata; Mammalia; Didelphimorphia; Didelphidae. The record is from RNAcentral.